This 499-nucleotide ribosomal RNA is filed under the name uncultured bacterium. RNAcentral describes it as "bacterial SSU rRNA". It matches the Rfam family "Bacterial small subunit ribosomal RNA", at positions 21 to 507 of the family's 1533-position model. The record is from RNAcentral.
GGCUCAGGAUGAACGCUAGCGGCAGGCUUAACACAUGCAAGUCGAGGGGCAGCAUGACACGGAGAUUCGUCGAAGUGUUGAUGGCGACCGGCGCAAGGGUGCGUAACGCGUGAGCAACUUGCCCGUUUCUGGGGAAUAACCGGUGGAAACGCCGACUAAUACCCCAUAGUAUAACUAAGAGGCAUCUUUUUGUUAUUAAAGAAUUUCGGAAACGGAUAGGCUCGCGUGACAUUAGCUAGAUGGCGGGGUAACGGCCCACCAUGGCUACGAUGUCUAGGGGUUCUGAGAGGAAGGUCCCCCACACUGGAACUGAGACACGGUCCAGACUCCUACGGGAGGCAGCAGUGAGGAAUAUUGGUCAAUGGUCUGACGACUGAACCAGCCAUGCCGCGUGAAGGUCACGGCCCUAUGGGUCUUAAACUUCUUUUGUAAGGGAGCAAUAAGUCUCACGUGUGGGAUGAUGAGAGUACCUUACGAAUAAGCAUCGGCUAACUCCGUG